UACGAAGGGGGCUAGCGUUGCUCGGAAUUACUGGGCGUAAAGGGCGCGUAGGCGGACAUUUAAGUUAGAGGUGAAAGCCCAGGGCUCAACCCUGGAAUAGCCUUUAAUACUGGAUGUCUUGAGUUCGGGAGAGGUGAGUGGAACUCCGAGUGUAGAGGUGAAAUUCGUAGAUAUUCGGAAGAACACCAGUGGCGAAGGCGACUCACUGGCCCGAUACUGACGCUGAGGCACGAAAGCGUGGGGAGCAAACAGG
RNAcentral lists this ribosomal RNA (253 nucleotides) under uncultured prokaryote. RNAcentral's name for it is "partial 16S ribosomal RNA". It matches the Rfam family "Bacterial small subunit ribosomal RNA", at positions 524 to 776 of the family's 1533-position model. The record is from RNAcentral.